AUGAGCCAUUCGCAGUUUCACUGUACCGGCCGUGCGUACUUAGACAUGCAUGGCUUAAUCUUUGAGACAAGCAUAUGCUACUGGCAGGAUCAACCAGGUAGGAGACGGUGGGACAGCGGGCCGGGUGGACCCCAGCGCAAGGCGUGCGUGCUUGCAGGGCGGUUGACAGCGGGGUGGGGGCGGAGGCGCACCCCAGGGACCCAGCGGCCCACCACACCCGCAGCGAGGACCGACGACGGGCCGCCCGACAACUCGACCGAGGGCACAAGCGGCGCGGGGCCGCACCGCGGCGUCGCGGAGGGACGAGGGGGGAAGCCCCAAGCUCCCCCACCACCACACCCCAGACACGGACCUCCCCCUCGACGGCCCGGGGCACCGAGCAGUCACGUCGGGACCGGCCGACACGCGCGCGCCCUCGCUCGAGCGGACAGGAGAGGGGUGGCAACGAGGGCCAAGGCCCAAGGCCACUCCCCCCCACCCACCCAGGAGCGGCACGGCUAUGACGGCCGGCCCGCAGCGGCUAGCCGGGCCCCGACUCGCGCUCAGGUGAGCUCAGCAGAGCCGGGAGGGAGGGGCACGCGGCGGGGGGGUGGGGGGGUGGCAGAAGGCCACCCCUCGACCACACGCAACGACACCGGCGGACAGGCGGGGGCAAGGAAGCGGCGGCGGGCACGGAGCGGGGCCGCAGCGGGCCCAGGAAAGCGAGACGCACCAGGACGCCGGUCCGGGGGUCGGCAGAUGGGGACCAGACAGACGGGAGGUCAGACAGACGAGCGGGAGCGAGGAGGGCGAACGUGGGAGCGGCCGGCAUCGAGAGAGAUGCCACAAAGGGACGGUGGCGGAGGGGGCGGCCGCAGGCCUCCAACGAGGUGGGGAGGCACAGGCCGCAUUAGGCAAAAGAGCAGCGCUUGGCCCCCACCGCGGGGGCCAGCGCACCCCUCGCGCGAGGGCGGCUCUUGCCCACACGCUGUGGCAAGUAGCGCCGGCAGCUACUGCCUUGCAGACUUCAGGAGGGGCGGCGGCUGGGGGGUCCAGGUACCCCAAGGCCCCCCUCUCAGAUCGCUAGAGAAGGCUUUCUCACCGAGGGCGCGUCGUGCCCCACACACCAUCGCUCGCCCCUUCGGGGACCCACGGGAGUGGGAACACUCCCAAAAAGUGGGAAGUCAGAAGGGGGGGGGGUCUGCGGUAUGGGUAAAGCACACAGCCCAUGUGAGCGUCCACGGUCAGAGCCGGGAGGGCAAGAGUCUGUGCUGCCACCAGGCUUGCCUUUCAGACUUUUCCACGUGGGUGGAGGGAUGCCACGUCCGGAAAGCCAGACGGGGACCCCCCCUUCACAUCUCCCGGCCCACCGCGGUCGCUCUCACGCCCACAUGCAGCCUUCCCGGUCAAGGGAGAAGGAUGGGGCGUGCCGCUCAAGGGCCAAGGGCUUCCCUCACUGGCACACAGUGAGGGAGACCCCAUGGCAAGGGGUCCACCUGAGCCCCUCCCGGGGAGGGGACACAAGCUUCCCCUGCCUUACCGUCUCGACCCCCUCCCCUGAGCUUUAGGAAGCUGCUCGUGGGGCACGCCACCACCACAGUGGGGACCCGAGGGGACUCACCGCUGGGAGAGGAAAACGACACCACCGCUCGGCCUCGGGCAUCUGACAGGCAACCCGGAGUACUCCAGGGGCACCACAGAGGACCAGGGGAGGCACGCUCACGCACCCGCAGGGAUGCGAAGCAUGGCAGCGAGGGAGGCCUCCCCCCCACUUUGGGGAGGGACCGCUCGCAAGGCACACGCCAAGGCGGCAAAGCGAGAAUGCCUGCUGCGUCCCAAAGGACCCAGGCCCCCCCCCCUGACUGACACCCGAAGGCAGCAGGGCGGGAGACCAGAGGUCAGGCUGGAGGCCGCACCCCUGCCUUCCCCCACACCACCCGCAGGUGGGGGAGGAGCAGCGAGGGGCCCGCGACAGAAUGAGAGGCGCGGCCCAGCUCACCAUGAGCGGCCAUCCCUCAUCUGGCGCGGCUUAAGCCCAAGCCCAGGAGAGCGCCACAUCACCACAUCGAUCAGUCCUGGCAGAGCCAGGGAAGAGCCCAGAAGAGGGGAGGGAGGGCCAGCAAAGACAAUCACCACGGGGGCCUGCUUCAGCUUCACCGGCACCCCCUCCUCCUCCUCCCCUUCCUCUCUCAGGGGAGAGACAGCGGCUGACAACCCCGGGAGGGAGAACGCCUGACACGUGGCACGGAGCCAACAGGGUGGGGUUGUCCCAGCCGAGCCGCCGGGUGCCCGCAGCAGGGAGGCACACAGGGUAGAAGACCCCACAGGGCCACGCGCCCUGCCGCCCUCGGGUCAGCCAGAGACCGGAGGAGACACCGCAGCACGGGCCAGCUGGAUGCACAAGUGAGAGCCGGCGCACAGGCCCAGGCGAGCGGCCCCCACGCGGGGUGCAAAGGGCAGGGUCAGGCCU
Molecule: long non-coding RNA, 2449 nt
Filed under: Sus scrofa (pig)
Lineage: Eukaryota; Metazoa; Chordata; Mammalia; Artiodactyla; Suidae
Description: lncRNA (ENSSSCG00015032243.1)
Source: RNAcentral